This 493-nucleotide ribosomal RNA is filed under the name uncultured bacterium. RNAcentral's name for it is "bacterial SSU rRNA". It matches the Rfam family "Bacterial small subunit ribosomal RNA", at positions 802 to 1298 of the family's 1533-position model. The record is from RNAcentral.
GUAAACGUUGGGCACUAGGUGUGGGGGCCGUUGUGGUUUCUGCGUCGUAGCUAACGCUUUAAGUGCCCCGCCUGGGGAGUACGGCCGCAAGGCUAAAACUCAAAGGAAUUGACGGGGGCCCGCACAAGCGGCGGAGCAUGCGGAUUAAUUCGAUGCAACGCGAAGAACCUUACCAAGGCUUGACAUGUGGAGGAAGCAUGCAGAGAUGUGUGUGCCUUUUUGGUCUUCAUGCAGGUGGUGCAUGGUUGUCGUCAGCUCGUGUCGUGAGAUGUUGGGUUAAGUCCCGCAACGAGCGCAACCCUUGUCUCGUGUUGCCAGCAUUUGGUUGGGGACUCACGGGAGACUGCCGGGGUUAACUCGGAGGAAGGUGGGGAUGACGUCAAAUCAUCAUGCCCCUUAUGUCUUGGGCUUCACGCAUGCUACAAUGGCCGGUACAGAGGGUUGCGAUACUGUGAGGUGGAGCGAAUCCUUUAAAGCUGGUCUCAGUUCGGAU